CAAAAGAGUCGCUCAGCUGGCGCAAUUGCUGUCAACAAAAGGAAGCUGUAUUUGAACAGGAGCUGGGCAGGCCAGCCCCAGGAGGCCUGCCGAAGGAGUUGAACUCAUGGAACGGAUGUCUAAAGAGAUAUAGCAGGGAGCAAUGGGAGAAGAAGCAUUUUCAUUGACUCUAAAUCAGACCCUUUGCAGUCAGGAUGCAGGUAGUGUAUGAGAGGUAAUGCAUCUUCUUACAUAUUUUUAUGUCAGUAGAUUUGCUCCAUUUUAGCCAACAGUUUUGAUUCUUGAUUCAGUGCUGUUGGUCUUAUAGUUUGGAACAUCCCCUUCAGUUCAGUUCAGUUCAGUCGCUCAGUUGUGUCUGACUCUUUGUGACCCCAUGAACCACAGCACGCCAGGCCUCCCUGUCCAUCACCAACUCCCCGAGUUU
This 424-nucleotide long non-coding RNA is filed under the name Bos indicus x Bos taurus (hybrid cattle). RNAcentral's name for it is "lncRNA (ENSBIXG00000027442.1)". The record is from RNAcentral. Lineage: Eukaryota; Metazoa; Chordata; Mammalia; Artiodactyla; Bovidae.